This is a long non-coding RNA of Haliotis rufescens (red abalone), 531 nucleotides long. RefSeq lists it as uncharacterized. The transcript has 4 exons. The record is from RefSeq and is a predicted model, not a curated record. Lineage: Eukaryota; Metazoa; Mollusca; Gastropoda; Lepetellida; Haliotidae.
GUUAAUGCAUGAAGUCAGUAAGUCCCACAAGUCGGGGAGUGGCUGGUCGUAGAUUACGACAUGUUGUAGAGUGUAACAGUUGUAAAGGCGUUCCUGGUGAUUUACCGGUGGUGUUCACCGGUGGGGUGGUGAUCGAGUUGACCGGUGGAUCGGUGUUGAAAGCAAAUGCUGAUAUUGACAGAAACUGAACUCCCACAAUGCACUGGUACACCAUUCAGUGAGGCCUCAUGGACAAGGUAACGACAGUCAGUCCUCCUGAAGAGGAAGAUCUAACACAUCCUACCACAGAAAUGUGAACAAUUGACCUGCCCUUGCAUGUGUUUGAGAUGGCUGCCACCGGUGGGGAACCUUUUCGCAAACACCUGGUAUCAUCAAUGUUUGAUGGCGGUUCAUAAACAUGUGCUUAUGAUAUAGUCAGAAUCGAACAAUCAACUCUCAGUUUUGUCGCCCUAAUAAUCAAUUACCGUAUUCGACGUAAUAAGCGCCCCCCGGCGAUAUUUGCUAAUAUAUUGGCUAGUGAACAAGCCCAAU